RNAcentral lists this ribosomal RNA (465 nucleotides) under uncultured bacterium. RNAcentral describes it as "partial 16S ribosomal RNA". It matches the Rfam family "Bacterial small subunit ribosomal RNA", at positions 28 to 506 of the family's 1533-position model. The record is from RNAcentral.
GAUGAACGCUGGCGGCGUGCUUAACACAUGCAAGUCGAACGAUGAAGCCCAGCUUGCUGGGUGGAUUAGUGGCGAACGGGUGAGUAACACGUGAGUAACCUGCCCUUGACUCCGGGAUAAGCCUGGGAAACUGGGUCUAAUACUGGAUAUGACUUCUCAUCGCAUGGUGGGGGGUGGAAAGAUUUAUUGGUCUUGGAUGGACUCGCGGCCUAUCAGCUUGUUGGUGAGGUAAUGGCUCACCAAGGCGACGACGGGUAGCCGGCCUGAGAGGGUGACCGGCCACACUGGGACUGAGACACGGCCCAGACUCCUACGGGAGGCAGCAGUGGGGAAUAUUGCACAAUGGGCGCAAGCCUGAUGCAGCGACGCCGCGUGAGGGAUGACGGCCUUCGGGUUGUAAACCUCUUUCAGUAGGGAAGAAGCGAGAGUGACGGUACCUGCAGAAGAAGCGCCGGCUAACUACGU